UACGAAGGGGGCUAGCGUUGCUCGGAAUUACUGGGCGUAAAGCGCACGUAGGCGGCUUCUUAAGUCGGUGGUGAAAUCCUGGAGCUCAACUCCAGAUCUGCCUUCGAUACUGGGAAGCUCGAGUCCGGGAGAGGUGAGUGGAACUGCGAGUGUAGAGGUGAAAUUCGUAGAUAUUCGCAAGAACACCAGUGGCGAAGGCGGCUCACUGGCCCGGUACUGACGCUGAGGUGCGAAAGCCAGGGGAGCAAACGGG
This 253-nucleotide ribosomal RNA is filed under the name uncultured bacterium. RNAcentral's name for it is "partial 16S ribosomal RNA". It matches the Rfam family "Bacterial small subunit ribosomal RNA", at positions 524 to 776 of the family's 1533-position model. The record is from RNAcentral.